AGACCGUAUGAAAUAUUGAGAAGUAAAUCAUAUUUUGGCUUCAGUAAAAAUGAUUAAAUAACCUGACGUUUUCUUUGAGGCACACAGCAGACUGAAAGAAGGAGCUCGGGAGGAGUGGAGAAGGGGAGAUAAAGGGAGAACGGGGAAACGAGAGGGACAGACGAGCUGAAUACCUACAUCGCGACUUUUAGCUGUUCUGUAAGCCGAGCUGAAUGAAAUAUCACAUCACAUCCUGCAAAGAAAUAAAAAUCAGCGUCAGUAAAAAUACACAUAAGAAAUAAGCAAGAAGCAGGCAGAGAUGAAACAGGAAGUAAAACGCACACAGGCACAUAAACACACACACACACGCACACACACACACACUGAUAAAGGCAAGAAACGCUCGCAGCGUCAAAAGACAAUGACGAUGCAGGUUCCUGAAGUCCGGAGUAAGGUGCGGAAUGUAGACUGUGGUGUUAGCAUCGGUAUACAGGAGCUGAGCAAAUAUAGAAUACAAACAAAAAA
Drosophila innubila is the source of this 504-nucleotide long non-coding RNA. RefSeq lists it as uncharacterized. Lineage: Eukaryota; Metazoa; Arthropoda; Insecta; Diptera; Drosophilidae. The record is from RefSeq and is a predicted model, not a curated record. The transcript is spliced from 2 exons.